Molecule: long non-coding RNA, 574 nt
Organism: Sorghum bicolor (sorghum)
Lineage: Eukaryota; Viridiplantae; Streptophyta; Magnoliopsida; Poales; Poaceae
Exons: 2
Source: RefSeq, a predicted model, not a curated record
CUCUGCCCUUCAUGCGUCGCUCCCCCUCGGUAUGUCGGUUUUUUUAGAAAGGAAACAAUAUUACUUCCCCGAUCAUCCCAUCCAAUCACCCUCUCCUCCUGCGAUCCCGCUCCAUCACGUGCACACCCCUCUCCCAUGCUGCAUCCACCUCGCCCACGUCGUUGCUCACCGGCCGAACAACACCAGGCCUCCACGCCCUCCAACAAACACCACACACCGCCGUGCGACGCUGCCUCUAUGCCAACGAACCGUGAGAUGUGACACCAACUCCACGACCUGCCUCGUUGCGCGCCACCGAACUGCGGGAUGCGCCACCACCUUGAUGCCGAUGGAUGCGCCACCGCUGGAUCUUGGAGGGGCCAAUGAGGGCGCCGCUGCUGUCCAUGACGAGCUCUGCGAGGGCAGCGACCUUCCCUAGUGUGAUGGUUGUGAGACUCUGCAAGGACAGGGGCACAAUUGAACUAGACAAGUAUGAUUAGCACUCCUCGGUUCGCUUUUAUACUUUUGUUCCAACUUCAACUGUUAAUCUAAUCUUCCUGCUCUAUUAAGAAAAUUCUAUCUCUGAAUCGAUACA